Molecule: non-coding RNA, 114 nt
Filed under: Streptococcus pseudoporcinus
Lineage: Bacteria; Bacillati; Bacillota; Bacilli; Lactobacillales; Streptococcaceae
Description: PreQ1-II sequence
Rfam family: PreQ1-II (pre queuosine) riboswitch aptamer
About the family: Q is a hyper modified nucleoside present in some anticodons in tRNAs (Try, Asn, Asp and His).
Source: RNAcentral
UGUGGUAUAAUGAAAAGGUUGCCAUGCAACCCUUGGUGCUUAGUUCCCUUUCGCCAAGCAUAUUACAAAUGUUAUUAGCAAAGAUUCCUGAUAGCAUUAAAGGAGAAAAUGAUG